UACGAAGGGGGCUAGCGUUGUUCGGAAUUACUGGGCGUAAAGCGCGUGUAGCGGGUCUUUAAGUCAGGGGUGAAAUGCCAAGGCUCAACCUUGGAACUGCCUUUGAUACUGGAGACCUUGAGUCCGGGAGAGGUGAGUGGAAUUGCGAGUGUAGAGGUGAAAUUCGUAGAUAUUCGCAAGAACACCAGUGGCGAAGGCGGCUCACUGGCCCGGAACUGACGCUCAUGCACGAAAGCGUGGGGAGCAAACAGG
RNAcentral lists this ribosomal RNA (252 nucleotides) under uncultured bacterium. RNAcentral's name for it is "partial 16S ribosomal RNA". It matches the Rfam family "Bacterial small subunit ribosomal RNA", at positions 524 to 776 of the family's 1533-position model. The record is from RNAcentral.